This 377-nucleotide ribosomal RNA is filed under the name uncultured eukaryote. RNAcentral describes it as "partial 18S ribosomal RNA". It matches the Rfam family "Eukaryotic small subunit ribosomal RNA", at positions 592 to 976 of the family's 1831-position model. The record is from RNAcentral.
CAAUAGCGUAUAUUUAAGUUGCUGCAGUUAAAAAGCUCGUAGUUGGAUUUCGGGUGGGAAUGGCCGGUCCGCCGUUUCGGUGUGCACUUGCUACGCCCACCUUGCUGCCGGGGACGUGCUCUUGAGUUCACGCUCGGGACACGGAGUCGGCGAGGUUACUUUGAGUAAAUUAGAGUGCUCAAAGCAGGCCUACGCUCUGAAUACAUUAGCAUGGAAUAACACGAUAGGACUCUGGCCUAUCUUGUUGGUCUGUAGGGCCGGAGUAAUGAUUAAGAGGGACAGUCGGGGGCAUUCGUAUUUCAUUGUCAGAGGUGAAAUUCUUGGAUUUAUGAAAGACGAACUACUGCGAAAGCAUUUGCCAAGGAUGUUUUCAUUAA